UACGUAUGGGGCAAGCGUUAUCCGGAUUCAUUGGGCGUAAAGGGCGCGUAGGCGGCUUUUUAAGUCUGGAGUGAAAGUCCCGCUUUCAAGGUGGGAAUUGCUUUGGAAACUGGAGAGCUUGAGUGCAGAAGAGGUAAGUGGAAUUCCCAGUGUAGCGGUGAAAUGCGUAGAGAUUGGGAGGAACACCAGUGGCGAAGGCGACUUACUGGGCUGUAACUGACGCUGAGGCGCGAAAGCGUGGGUAGCAAACAGG
Molecule: ribosomal RNA, 253 nt
Filed under: uncultured bacterium
Lineage: Bacteria
Description: partial 16S ribosomal RNA
Rfam family: Bacterial small subunit ribosomal RNA
Source: RNAcentral